RNAcentral lists this ribosomal RNA (406 nucleotides) under uncultured bacterium. RNAcentral describes it as "partial 16S ribosomal RNA". It matches the Rfam family "Bacterial small subunit ribosomal RNA", at positions 30 to 526 of the family's 1533-position model. The record is from RNAcentral.
AUUGAACGCUGGCGGCAGGCCUAACACAUGCAAGUCGAACGAGUGGCGGACGGGUGAGUAAUGUCUGGGAAACUGCCUGAGGGAGGGGGAUAACUACUGGAAACGGUAGCUAAUACCGCAUACCAUCGGAUGUGCCCAGAGUGGAUUAGCUAGUAGGUGGGGUAAAGGCUCAACUAGGAGAAGAUCCCUAGCUGGUCUGAGAGGAUGACCAGCGACACUGGAACUGAGACACGGUCCAGACUCCUACGUGAGGCAUCAGUGGGGAGUAUGGCACAGUGGGCGCUAGCCUGAUGCAGCCAUGCCUCGUGUAUUAAGAAGGCCUUCUGGUUUUAAAGUACUUGCAGCGGGGAGGCGUUACCCGCAGAAGACGCACCGGCUAACUCCGUGCCAGACGCCGCGGUAAUUC